AUUCUUUUUGGGUUCCCAAGAAUGAUGAUUCGGUAUUGACAUGCUUGUGUGACAUGUCUCUCACUAAAAACUCGUUACACACUUGGUACCUUAACCAUCUGAUU
Molecule: small nucleolar RNA, 104 nt
Organism: Sorex araneus (European shrew)
Lineage: Eukaryota; Metazoa; Chordata; Mammalia; Eulipotyphla; Soricidae
Source: Ensembl